This 116-nucleotide ribosomal RNA is filed under the name Pteropus alecto (black flying fox). The record is from RNAcentral. Lineage: Eukaryota; Metazoa; Chordata; Mammalia; Chiroptera; Pteropodidae.
GUCUACAGCCAUGCUACCCUGAACAAGCCUGAUGUCUGAUCUCGGAAGCUAAGCAGGGUCAGGCCUGGUUAGUACUUGGAUGGGAGACCACCUAGGAAGACCAAGUGCUGUAGGCA